GGCCUAGAGAAAGCAAGGGACGAUAUUAUCAAGAAGAUCAGUGACGGUGACCCUGUGUCCAAGGCGCAUCUCAAGAUACUCUCAGUUGUGGGAUUUGGAGGACUGGGCAAGACCACACUUGCCAGAGAAGUAUAUGAUUCCCUUCCAACAAAAUUUGGUUACAAAGCUUUUGUGUCCGUGUCUCGGAAUCCAGACAUGAAGAAAGUAUUAAGCAAUCUUCUCUUCAAACUUGACAAGGAAAAACACGCUAGUAUGAAUGCAGCAAACUUGGAUGUAGAGCAGCUCAUCAUCCUAGCCCGUGAACUGCUUAGCAAGAAAAGGUACUUUAUAAUUAUCGAUGAUUUAUGGGAUAAAGAAGCAUGGCAAACAAUCAGACUUGCACUCGUGGAAAAUGGGUGUGGAAGUAUAAUAAUCACUACCACCCGCCAUCUUGAUGUCUCUAAAAUAUGCUGCUCUUAUAAUGAUGAUAUGAUUCAUAAGAUGGAACCUCUCUCUGACAAUCACUCCCAAAUACUUUUCUAUAGAAGAAUAUUUGGAAGUGAGGUUUGUCCUCCUAGAUUCCAGCAAGUAUCCAAAGAGAUCUUAAAGAAAUGUGCUGGGGUACCAUUAGCCAUCAUCAGUUUGGCUAGUUAUUUGGCUAAUAAUGAGAGGACCAACCAAAUUGAUCAAUGGUAUGUUUUGCUCAACUCUAUUGGCCAUGGACUUAAAAAAGGUGAUGAUGAUGUGAAGGAAAUGAAGAGGAUAUUAUCAUUGAGCUUUUAUGACCUCCCUUCUUAUUUGAAGACUUGCUUUUUAUAUCUAAGUAUCUUUCCAGAAGAUCAUCAAAUUAGCAGAGAUCGGUUGAUAAGAAGAUGGAUUGGUGAAGGAUUUAUCCAAGUAGAAGAUGAAACUGCUAGCCUUCUUGAGCUUGGAGAUAGCUACUUCAACCAGCUAGUAAACAGAAACAUGAUCAUUCCGAUAAACAUGCAUGUUGAUGGUAGGGUUGAAGCUUGUUGUGUACAUGACAUAAUGCUGGAUCUCAUAUGUGAAUUAUCAAGCGAAGUAAACUUUGUUACUGUAUUGGAUGUUAUCAAGGGAGACACAGCUUUGAAAGAGAACUUCCGCAGAUUGUCCAUCCAGAAGAGCAUGACAGAUCUCACCACCACUCAGAUGGAUACCACAAGCAUGUCACAAGUAAGGUCUUUCACGGCUUUUAGUCCUGCUGUUAGUAAGAUCCCCCCUCUCUCUAUAUUUCAAGUUUUACGUGUAUUGGAUCUGGAAGGUUGUGAUCUUCGGAAAAGUCCUGGCAUUGGCCUUAGGCAUGUUGAGAAGUUGUUACAUUUGAGAUAUCUGGGGUUAAGGGGCACAAAGGUUGGCAAGCUCCCUAUGGAAAUAGGAAAGCUACAGUUUUUGCAGACACUAGACUUGCAAUUGACCAAUUCAAAAGAAUUAUCGUCCAGCGUCGUUCAGCUGAGGCAGUUGGUGUGCCUAAUCCUUGAUUCAGGUAUGUCACUACCAAAAGGGUUAUGCAACCUGACAUGCCUUGAACAGCUGAUGGGGCACGAUAUGGGCUUUCAUUCUGAAGAAACCGCAAAAGAGCUGGGCCAUAUGAGCAGGCUAAGAGAGCUCUCCUUUAGAUUGGAUGUUGGGGGAAAUGAUAAAGUUAGUAAAGCUUUGAUUGGGUCCAUAGCCAAGCUACACAAACUCGAGCGCCUGGAAAUCUUCGCUAAUGGUAAUUGGCGUGACCUAGUGCACGGUUUGGUGCCGCCUCCAAACCUACGCAGGCUUAGUUCAUACAAUCAAUUGCGGCUCAUUCCUGCAUGGAUUUGUUCUUCGUCGCUACCUCUACUCUCCUACCUUGAUCUAACUGCUAUUGAAGUGCGCUCCGGAGAUAUCCAGAACCUUGGGAUGCUGCCGGCUCUCCGUUAUGUCGCCCUUGACACAGGCAAUAUCAAAGUAGUGGUGGAGAAGCUAGAGCUUAGCGCCGGUGCCUUCCCGGAGGCGAGAGUAUGCCUUUUCCAUAGAAUUAUACUGGUGAACCCUACGUUCCAAAAAGGAGCUAUGCCAAUGGUUCAACGCCUUCGCUUCGGUCUCCGAGUGAAUGACAUCCUCAGUCCUGAGUUUGAUUUGAGCAUAAGAAACCUUCCUUCGCUCAAGCAACUCAGAAUUGACCUUUCCAAUAAUGAAGUCAGCCCUGAGGAUUAUUCUGAAGCCAUAGACGCGCUGAGGUGUGUGGCAGAGAGCCAUCCCCAAAGCCCC
Molecule: ribosomal RNA, 2238 nt
Filed under: Triticum aestivum (bread wheat)
Lineage: Eukaryota; Viridiplantae; Streptophyta; Magnoliopsida; Poales; Poaceae
Description: partial small subunit ribosomal RNA
Source: RNAcentral